This is a long non-coding RNA of Oncorhynchus tshawytscha (Chinook salmon), 2777 nucleotides long. The record is from Ensembl. Lineage: Eukaryota; Metazoa; Chordata; Actinopteri; Salmoniformes; Salmonidae.
UUCUAAAAGAGGAAACGGCUGGUGGUGAUGGAACAGAACCUGUUCUAAAAGAGGAAAUGGCUAGUGGUGAUGGACUGAGGAGAUGCAUCUGAAAAGUUCUAAAACAGGAACUGUGUGUGUGUGUGUGUGUGUGUGUGUCGACUGAUUAUGGACAGCUGUGAGAGUCUAGGUUGGAACCCUGGAGGUAGAAACAACCCUUCUCUCUGACUCUGAACUCAACUCCCAGAAUGAGUCUAGACAGACAGACGGAGGGAACCGGCCCCAUGAUACAAGAGACUGGACUCAUGAACCACACAGACAGAUUGACAUAUGGAUAUUAUCUCCUGUUUGUAGCCACUAUCUCCAUUUCAAAGAGAUCUACUGAAGAGACUAUUACAGAGAGAGAGAGAAACCAUACAUUUCCUUUAUUUGUGACUAUUGGGCCGAGCAGAACCAAGGAUAGCAUGUGUGUUUCAGCUGCUGGUUCUGUUUCGGUUUACAGAUGCUGAAAUUGCCCAUAAGCUAUUUUUUGAAUACACAAACCUUCUCAUUAAAAAACACACACACACACACACACACACACAAACACACACACACACACAUAAUGCUCAUCAUGUAGGAAUUGGAUCCCAGGAAAGUAUUCUGCCAUCUUGACAGAUACCUGAACAAGGAACAUGUUUACUUCACCUGUGUGUUUUGUGUACCUCCUAAAGACAUAUAAAUAUCAUUUUUAAUGUGGACAUUUCAGACAUUGGACAGAAUAGCACAAAAAGAACCCUGUAAGAUGUUGACCACGUUAAGCUCAAUAUGUAUUCAUUCUAUGCUAAGUUUUCUGUUCUGCUGAUGCCUAACCGUGAGUUCAUAACACUGAACUCAGAAGUGCAUCUCGAUUUACAUGUUUUGUGUCUUUCUGUUCUUGAGAAAAGGUGUGAUGCUUUAGAAACACACUGUGAUUGUCAGUCUGUAGGAUAUGUCUAUGGUGUUGGUUUAGGUGAGUCUUUGGUUCAAUUGAAAUAUUGGUCCUUGUGUAUCUGAAGAAGCUGCAGUGUUCAGAACGACCUGCAGGGGUCUCCCUCCCACUGAGAAACACUAGAUCUGUCCUAUAGAACAGGACUGGCCAGUAUUCUAAAAGAGGGCCGGUGUGGGUGCAGGCUUUUGCCCCAGCCAAGCAGUAACACACCUGAUUCUAUAUCUGGUGGAUGUUAUCGUUGGAUGCUGAUGCAACACCACACACAUCUUUAAAUGCAGUGUUAACCUACAGCAGGGUUUCCCAGUGGUGUAGUAGGAGCUACACGGAGGUAUACACCCUAAACCCCACAGAUGUUUAAACAGAGGUGUAGGAGGUAUACGCUCUAAACCCCACAGAGGUUUAAACAGUGGUGUAGUAGGAGCUACACGGAGGUAUACGCCCUAAACCCCACAGAGGUUUAAACAGUGGUGUAGUAGGAGCUACACGAAGGUAUACACCCUAAACCCCACAGAGGUUUAAACAGAGGUGUAGGAGGUAUACACCCUAAACCCCACAGAGGUUUAAACAGUGGUGUAGUAGGAGCUACACAGAGGUAUACGCUCUAAACCCCACUGAGGUUUAAACAGUGGUGUAGUAGGAGCUACACAGAGGUAUACACCCUAAACCCCACUGAGGUUUAAACAGUGGUGUAGUAGGAGCUGCACGGAGGUACAGUGCCUUGCGAAAGUAUUCGGCCCCCUUGAACUUUGCGACCUUUUGCCACAUUUCAGGCUUCAAACAUAAAGAUAUAAAACUGUAUUUUUUUGUGAAGAAUCAACAACAAGUUGGACACAAUCAUGAAGUGGAACGAUAUUUAUUGGAUAUUUCAAACUUUUUUAACUAAUCAAAAACUGAAAAAUUGGGCGUGCAAAAUUAGUCAUUAUGUGCUGUUUUUGAAUGAACAUUUCCAAAUGCUUUCCCAAGGAAAACUUUCAAAUGGAAGCUGCCAUAUGUAACUUUGUGCAACCAAACAAGUUCACAUAGAAAUGUGAAAACGUAUUGCAGAGGUUGAGAUUGUACAAAGACUAUACAAUUACUUAUUGUUUUGUCACAAACUGAAAUUAGGUGAACUUUGAAUUUUAGCAACCAGGAAAUGGUGGAGCUAUUUCUGUAUAGUGCAUCUUUAAAUGUUGACUACAAAUUAGGCCUACAUGAUAUAAUUAUGAUUGUAUCAAUCUGGAGGGCAUUUCUUUUGAAAACUCUGCAAUCACAUGUACUCUACUGUAGGCCUACAUUGUAGAGUACAGACACUGCGAGCCACAUGGUAUUUGGCUAGUUGCUUAAUUAUUUUAAAGGGCAACUAGACCCUCCCAAAAAUAGUAUUUUAUAUUUUUCCCAGACCUAAAAAAUGGUCUCCUUGUGCGGUAUAAGCAUUGAUGUGGGCUUAACAUGCAUUUGUUGUUUUUCUAUGAAAGAUUUUUCUGGCAAAAUGAUGGUGUACUCACUUCUCCAGGCACCGCUACACCAAUGGGUUUUCCUGUAUCUGUGAGUGAUUUGAUUUGGGACCUGAAUCUCCAACAGGCUUAGGCUGUUACGCAAUGGAUCAUCAUGUCUCACUCCCAUAGGCUGCUUCACUUGUCAAUCAUGUCUCUGCUAUCUUGCCCUGUAAUCUGUGAUAUCUCUCUCUCAAACACUCCUCUGUCUCUCAUCGUCAACUCUUUAUUUAAGAUAUUAAGCAAGCUCUACUUCUCUUAUCCUACAGUAUCUUCACCUGUCUGACAAAUCAAGCAAAUGAGAAAAUAAAACAAUCUGAAGAGAACCACACAGGGUUGAAUUGAUGAAAGCUGAA